RNAcentral lists this ribosomal RNA (253 nucleotides) under uncultured bacterium. RNAcentral's name for it is "partial 16S ribosomal RNA". It matches the Rfam family "Bacterial small subunit ribosomal RNA", at positions 524 to 776 of the family's 1533-position model. The record is from RNAcentral.
UACGUAGGUGGCAAGCGUUAUCCGGAAUUAUUGGGCGUAAAGCGCGCGCAGGCGGUUUCUUAAGUCUGAUGUGAAAGCCCACGGCUCAACCGUGGAGGGUCAUUGGAAACUGGGAAACUUGAGUGCAGAAGAGAAGAGUGGAAUUUCCGGUGUAGCGGUGAAAUGCGUAGAUAUCGGAAGGAACACCAGUGGCGAAAGCGGCUUCCUGGUCCAGCACCGACGUUCAGGCACGAAAGCGUGGGGAGCAAACAGG